Molecule: ribosomal RNA, 818 nt
Filed under: Camarosporidiella arborescentis
Lineage: Eukaryota; Fungi; Ascomycota; Dothideomycetes; Pleosporales
Description: SSU rRNA
Rfam family: Eukaryotic small subunit ribosomal RNA
Source: RNAcentral
CUUGCGCCGGCGACGGUUCAUUCAAAUUUCUGCCCUAUCAACUUUCGAUGGUAAGGUAUUGGCUUACCAUGGUUUCAACGGGUAACGGGGAAUUAGGGUUCGAUUCCGGAGAGGGAGCCUGAGAAACGGCUACCACAUCCAAGGAAGGCAGCAGGCGCGCAAAUUACCCAAUCCCGACACGGGGAGGUAGUGACAAUAAAUACUGAUACAGGGCUCUUUUGGGUCUUGUAAUUGGAAUGAGUACAAUUUAAACCUCUUAACGAGGAACAAUUGGAGGGCAAGUCUGGUGCCAGCAGCCGCGGUAAUUCCAGCUCCAAUAGCGUAUAUUAAAGUUGUUGCAGUUAAAAAGCUCGUAGUUGAAACUUGGGUCUGGCUGGCAGGUCCGCCUCACCGCGUGUACUUGUCCGGCCGGGCCUUCCUUCUGGAGAACCUCAUGCCCUUCACUGGGCGUGUUGGGGACCAGGACUUUUACUUUGAAAAAAUUAGAGUGUUCAAAGCAGGCCUUUGCUCGAAUACGUUAGCAUGGAAUAAUAGAAUAGGACGUGCGGUCCUAUUUUGUUGGUUUCUAGGACCGCCGUAAUGAUUAAUAGGGACAGUCGGGGGCAUCAGUAUUCAAUUGUCAGAGGUGAAAUUCUUGGAUUUAUUGAAGACUAACUACUGCGAAAGCAUUUGCCAAGGAUGUUUUCAUUAAUCAGUGAACGAAAGUUAGGGGAUCGAAGACGAUCAGAUACCGUCGUAGUCUUAACCGUAAACUAUGCCGACUAGGGAUCGGGCGAUGUUCUUUUUCUGACUCGCUCGGCACCUUACGAGAAAUCAAA